This 464-nucleotide ribosomal RNA is filed under the name uncultured bacterium. RNAcentral's name for it is "bacterial SSU rRNA". It matches the Rfam family "Bacterial small subunit ribosomal RNA", at positions 339 to 796 of the family's 1533-position model. The record is from RNAcentral.
CUACGGGAGGCAGCAGUCGAGAAUUUUUCACAAUGGGCGAAAGCCUGAUGGAGCGACGCCGCGUGGGGGAUGAAUGGCUUCGGCCCGUAAACCCCUGUCAUUUGCGAUCAAACCUUACGACCCAACACGUCGUGAGCUGAUAGUAGCGGAAGAGGAAGGGACGGCUAACUCUGUGCCAGCAGCCGCGGUAAUACAGAGGUCCCAAGCGUUGUUCGGAUUCACUGGGCGUAAAGGGUGCGUAGGCGGUCGGGUAAGUCUGACGUGAAAUCUUCGAGCUCAACUCGGAAACUGCGUCGGAUACUAUUCGGCUCGAGGAAUGGAGGGGAGACUGGAAUACUUGGUGUAGCAGUGAAAUGCGUAGAUAUCAAGUGGAACACCAGUGGCGAAGGCGAGUCUCUGGACAUUUCCUGACGCUGAGGCACGAAAGCCAGGGGAGCAAACGGGGUUAGAAACCCGAGUAGUCC